AUGUACAGACGCUAAAAAGAAGGAAGAAAAAGAGCAGAAAAAAGAAGAAGUCUACAAAACAUUUAGAACUUCAGGAAGUGACCCAGGACCACUAUGAUGAUUUGCCUUCAUUAGGUACACCUUCUAUAGGCACUGAGAAGGCUUCCUUGUAAAAGUAUCUUGAAUUCUUCUAAGAUGGCUACGCGUUCAGUGACUACACCAAAAGAAAAAAAAAAGGUUAAACGCCUUGGUUUCACAUGUCGCAAUUUUUGGCGUGCGUCUAGAGGAGUUUUAAGAGUGUAAAAGAAAUAAAAAAAAUACUG
RNAcentral lists this non-coding RNA (302 nucleotides) under uncultured Tubulinea. The record is from RNAcentral. Lineage: Eukaryota; Tubulinea.